RNAcentral lists this ribosomal RNA (498 nucleotides) under uncultured bacterium. RNAcentral's name for it is "partial 16S ribosomal RNA". It matches the Rfam family "Bacterial small subunit ribosomal RNA", at positions 29 to 523 of the family's 1533-position model. The record is from RNAcentral.
AUUGAACGCUGGCGGCAUGCCUUACACAUGCAAGUCGAACGGUAACGCGGGGCAACCUGGCGACGAGUGGCGAACGGGUGAGUAAUGCAUCGGAACGUGCCUGGUAGUGGGGGAUAACUGCUCGAAAGAGCAGCUAAUACCGCAUACGACCUGAGGGUGAAAGGGGGGGAUCGCAAGACCUCUCGCUAUCAGAGCGGCCGAUGUCGGAUCAGCUAGUUGGUGGGGUAAAGGCCCACCAAGGCGACGAUCCGUAGCUGGUCGGAGAGGACGACCAUCCACACUGGGACUGGUACACGGCCCAGACUCCUACGGGAGGCAGCAGUGGGGAAUUUUGGACAAUGGACGCAAGUCUGAUCCAGCCAUGCCGCGUGCGGGAAGAAGGCCUUCGGGUUGUAAACCGCUUUUGUCAGGGAAGAAAUCUUCUGGGUUAAUACCUCGGGAGAAUGACGGUACCUGAAGAAUAAGCACCGGCUAACUACGUGCCAGCAGCCGCCGUAA